UAGGGAAUCUUCGGCAAUGGACGAAAGUCUGACCGAGCAACGCCGCGUGAGUGAAGAAGGUUUUCGGAUCGUAAAACUCUGUUGUUAGAGAAGAACAAGGACGUUAGUAACUGAACGUCCCCUGACGGUAUCUAACCAGAGAGCCACGGCUAACUACGUGCCAGCAGCCACGGUAAUACGUAGGUGGCAAGCGUUGUCCGGAUUUAUUGGGCGUAAAGCGAGCGCAGGCGGUUUCUUAAGUCUGAUGUGAAAGCCUCCGGCUCAACCGGGGAGUGUCAUUGGAAUCUGGGAGACUUGAGUGCAGAAGAGGAGAGUGGAAUUCCAUGUGUAGCGGUGAAAUGCGUAGCUAUAUGGAGGAACACCAGUGGCGAAGGCGGCUCUCUGGUCUGUAACUGACGCUGAGGCUCGAAAGCGUGGGGAGCAAACAGG
Molecule: ribosomal RNA, 429 nt
Filed under: Chloroflexota bacterium
Lineage: Bacteria; Bacillati; Chloroflexota
Description: Chloroflexi bacterium partial 16S ribosomal RNA
Rfam family: Bacterial small subunit ribosomal RNA
Source: RNAcentral